RNAcentral lists this long non-coding RNA (3077 nucleotides) under Canis lupus familiaris (dog). Its description in RNAcentral is "lncRNA (ENSCAFG00030026280.1)". The record is from RNAcentral. Lineage: Eukaryota; Metazoa; Chordata; Mammalia; Carnivora; Canidae.
AAAGGCAGGGGAAACGUGAUAUGUCAGUAUGAAACCAAAGGGCAAUUAAGGGUGGGCCUGUGUACAUAAUUUAAUAAAUUUUUCUUGGCUUUCAAGAACUUCAGUCAUUGCCAUGUCAAUUCAGAAAGAGAAGAAAAAUACAAAUGAAGAAAACUUACUAUGAAAAGUUUGCCAAUUACAAUUCUCUUUGAUUGAACAGCAAGACUGAACUGAUAAGGAUGUAAGCAGAAACCAAAUUUAUUCUUUUCUGCUAGUCCUUGUUAAAACCUAACCCUAAGUAAAUACACUUAUUUUGCCAAAUAAUCUUUUUUUUCCUUUUGCCCCUGGGUGAAAUCAGGUGUAUCACAAAGUGUUUAUAAACUUUAUUUUGGAAAAAAAUUUCCAAAAUUUCUCUAUUUCCUUCUAGACUCAAAAAUGGUUUUAUUCAGGUUAUGAUGUCCCUAACAGGGAAUUAAUCACAUGAUUUCUUGGGUGGGCUUCAGAAAAGCUGGGAGAAGUGAUAGUUUUUAGUCUGUUUCAUUCCUUUCUUCCUUCCCUACACUUCUUCUUUUUUUUUUUUUUUUUAAGAUUAUUUAUUUAUUUAUUCAUGAGACACAGGCAGAAAUAUAGGCAGAGAGAGAAGCAGGUUCCCCACAGGGAGCUCUGAUGCAGGACUUAAUCCCAGGACCCUAGGAUCACGCCCUGAGCCUAAGGCAGAUGCUAAACUGCUGAGUCACCCAGGUGUCCUGUCUUCCUUCCCUACACUUCUCUGCAAGGAGAGGCAUUUAGGGGAAAGAGGCUCAAGCUUAGGUGGGAGUCACAGUUAAAAUCUGUCCUUGGUUUUCUCUUAGCUGGAACAUGUACAGACAAGCUCAUGAGAUAUUCUGGGUUUCCUAAACCAUUUCUGCUGUGGGACUCUUGACUGUAGGUUCCUUGGGGCAGGUUCUUUCUUCCAAGUCUUUCAAAUUGGGCACAGACCACCCAAUCCCUUGGCUUAUACGUAUGAACUCUGCACAGAUUUUCUUUGUUGGGAUCUCUUUAUCCCUUUGGGUGAUCUUUUGGGAUAAUGUCCCCUUUAACAUGGAUUUAGAGGAGUCCUUCUCUUGGACCAAGCAAAAACUCAUAUAUUCUUUCUUUCUUACAGAUGGAAGGGCAGCAGUCUACCAGUGUAGCUCUGAUUCUCUUUGCUACCCAAGACAAAACUUCAAGAUUUCAGAGAUGAUGUGUCUAAAAUGAGGACCUAGGCUGGAUGCUUUAGUAUUACCAGUGAUGAUACUUAGUAUCCCAGCAAAACAGCUCUCAGACUCUGAGGAUUAAGGUACAAAAUGAACAUAAGAUAUGUGAAGCUAGGGACAAGGGCAAGGGGCAAGAUUAGAUUAUUUAAAAGAUAAGCACUCUCUAGCCCAGAAAUGAGAUUCAGUAAUAGAGUUUGCCUCUGUUCUAAUGAGUGACCACAUUACCAACCAAAGAAGGAAUUUUUUUUUUCCAAAGAAAGAAUUAAUGCACAAAGAGGGAACACUCAUUUGCAGUAUAAGAAACAUGACUGUAAAGAUGAAGGUGUUGACUUGCUCUUUCAGUGACAUGCACAAGACUCACUGGCAAGCUGCCUCAACUUGCACGCUCUGAUGGCAGAGAUGCCUGAUGUAAGCAUAACACAUUCAAAGUCAUAACCUGAUGCCAUGGGCAUUUAUUUUAAUAAAUAAUGCUGUGAAUUUUCACUCUUUUGAUUCAGUGUGUACAGAGCAACAUUGUCUUAAAAUUUUGUUAUCUAGGGGCACCUGGGUGGCUCAGUCAGUUAAGUGUCUCCCUUUGGCUCAGGUCAGGAUUCCGAGAUCCUGAGAUGGAGCCCUACAUUGGGCUCCUUGCUUAGCAGGAAGCCUCCCUUUCUCUCGCCUGCCACUACUCCUUCUUGUGCUCUUUCUCUCCCUGUCAAAUAAAUAAAUAAAAUCUUUAAAAAAUUAGUUAUUGGGACCCCUGGGUGGCUCAGUGGUUGAGCAUCUGCCUUUGGCUCAGGUCGUGUUCCUGGAGUACAGGGAUCAAGUCCUGCAUCAGGGUCCCCUCAGAGCUUGCCUCUCCCUCUGCCUGUGUCUCUGCCUCUCUCUCUCUGUGUCUCUCAUGAAUAAAUAAAUAAAAUCUAAAAAAAUUUUUAAAAAUUUUUAAAAAUUAAAAUUUUAAAAAUAUCUAUUGGUGAAUGAUAAACUACCUUGAAACUUAGUAGGUUAGAAUAAUAACUAAUUCUCAUGGUUUUACUAGUUGACUAGGAAUAGCAGGGAAGUUUUUACUCAAAGUUUCUCAUGGUAGUUGGGAUUGGGGACAUCUGAAGGCUCACCAGGACCAGAUGUCCAUGAUAGUCUCUUCAUUCACACAUCUGUGUAACACUUCAUUUGGGGAACUGGCUGACAUCUCUUUCUCCUUCUGACUUUGCCACAUGUCUUCCUUGCCUUUGCUCACAGCAUGGUAGACUGCUUACAUAAACUCUUGACUUCCCAGAGACAGAAUUUCCAUAGAUCUAGGCAGAAGCUGUAAGACUUUUCAUGCCUUAACGGUGGUGGUCACAUGGCCUCACUUCUCACCUGUUCUGUGAGAGAGAAGUUGAAGGGCCAAGCCAACAAGCCCAUUGGAAGCCAUCUUUGGAGAUUAGAUACAACAGAGGGCUAAAAGCCAGAGCAAUUUCUUAAGAUACUUAGCCUAGAAAUGACACCCACCUUUUAUUUAUCUUCAUAUUAAUUUUAAAAAAGUACAGAGACAUGUACAAAAACAAAACAAAACAAAAACAUUUUAGAAUGGUGUUGAGUGAAAAGUAAAUCUUACCACUGCUAGCUUUCCUAAUUUCAUCUCCACAUCACUCAUAAGCAUCUUUGCUUGCAUUUUUUCAUCAUAGUUACAAAAUAAAACAAUGUAUUUACAGUUCUUUUGCUUGAUUUAUCACUUUAGAAAAUAAAUUCAAACUCCUAUCUUCAGAAAUGGAUAAAUUGGUAUCCUUUAUGCAUUUUUAUCUUUCCACACAGUUCUAUUUUGUUUAUUGUCCUCUUCAUCAUUUUUAACAAUAUAUUUGGCUGUCUGUUCCAUGCUUAAUUAAAAGUAUGGGUAUUUCUUGG